RNAcentral lists this long non-coding RNA (1944 nucleotides) under Theobroma cacao (cacao). Its description in RNAcentral is "long non-coding RNA (TCAC_LNC000534)". Lineage: Eukaryota; Viridiplantae; Streptophyta; Magnoliopsida; Malvales; Malvaceae. The record is from RNAcentral.
CCAAAGCAAGAACAAAGGAAGAAAAGAAGAACAAAAACCCUAGGUGGAAAAAUUCAAGAGAAAAGUGUGAAAAUUCAAGUAAUCAAGCAAUCAAAGGUAAAAUUUCUUGAUUUUGACUUGUGAUCUACCUUUCCCAUGCAUUAUUUUGCAUUUUCCAUGGUUGAAUCACAAGAUAUCAUGAAGGAUUCAUGGCUGAUCGAAUUUAGAGAGAGAAGAUUUGAUGAUUUAUUUGGUUAGAUUUUCAUGUAUUUUAGUGUUUUUAGUUAGUUAGUGAUGUGUAACAUGAAAAUCAAGCAAGAAAAAUUCAUUUUCUCUCAUCACCCAUCAUUGGCUGAAUUUUUCAUGUAGAGUGUGGAUGAUGAUUUUGAUUUUAUUUCAAGUGAAUUGGUUAGAAAAUGAUGAAUUACAGUGAGAAAAUCAAGUAGAAAAAAUCAUAGUAUUGAUGCACCCACUAUGGCCGAAAUUUCCAAGAGAAAAUGUGAGGAUGAUUUUUGCCAUAUUUCAAGUUAUUUAACUUGUGUUUGAUGAUUUGGAGUAUUGGGAGAAAAAUGAAAUUAUUUGGAGUUGAAUUGGACGUAUUGGCCAAUUAAUCGAGUGAUAGAUCGAAUUAGGCCAAUACCGUUUAAUUCAGGUACACAAUUGAAUUUGUGUAGGACACUGUGUUUAGACAAUAAUUCGAACAAUUUGCAUCCCAUUUCAUACAUUAGUAUAAAGCCUAAAUUGGUCUUAUAACAAUUUAGCACAAUGUAGUAAAUGACUUAUUGUGCAUUAUGUCUAGGUGGUGAGCAUUUUGGCAAAAGUAAAGAGAUAGUACCCGAGGAUCAAGAAUCGGAGUACUUGGAAUUCGACUCUUGAUACUGUGAGUAACCUUACUAUCGUUUUAAUUAUCUAAAGUGGUUUUUAUCCGAUUAUGUGAUUUUAUGGAAAAUGAGUUUAAAUGGCAAAUCUUUAUGUUUUAUAAGCAAAAUGUGAUUUAAAUGAAAUGAUUUUAUAAAAUUGUCUUGAAAUUGAAUGAUGGUUUUGGAAAAUGGAGUAAUUGGAGACUAGUUGCUGUGUUAUAAAUCAAGGUUUGAAUUGAAUGGCUUAUGAUAAUAUUAGCACGAAUGGUUGACUUGGUAAAUGUGUUGAAAAUAUAUGAACUGUUAAUUUGCCUUGAGAGGCUGUAAAAUAAAAUAAUCGCCAUGUCAUGCUAUCGCAAAUUUUAUUAAAUUGGUGGGUUAUAAAUUAGUCGCUGCAGUGGAUGGGUUCCAUGGACCAGCUUAUUAGAGGGGCACGAUAAUCCUAUUAUAUUCAUACCCCAGUAUGAGAGGCGCGGAUGGAUAACUCUUGAGGUUAACACUUUAGAGUUCACUUCACGCCAAACCACCACGUGAAGGUGAACUCAGCCAACGCCAAGGAACGACUAUAUUUUCAAAAUAAAAACAUGAUUUAUGCGUACAUAACUUUUUAACAGCCUUGGCGGACUUGAUUAGGAUAGCCCUCGAUCAAGGUAUCCCUAAUAACUGAGUAUGUGAAUGAUUUUGGCACGAGCCAAAGUUUUAAGAAAUUCAUAAGCCAUGUUGAUUACUCGAUUUAUAUGAAUUGAUUUUAUUUGGUUGAAAUGAGUUGAAAGGUGAUGAAUUACAAUAUGUUAAACUAUUUUAUCUGUCUCCAUUUACUCAGCUUUAGAUAUUUUAGAUGAUAUUUGUUUACUCACUGGGAUUAUAUAAUCUCACCACCCUCCUUUUCACCCAUUUCAGGCUCAGGAUAGUCGGUAGAUAGCUCAUUUCGUUGAGAGCUACAAUUGGAUUUGUAUCCUCCAAACUGUACGUUCACAGUCUUUCUUACUUUUAGUUAUUGGGGGCCCAUUGGUUAUUGUAAAUUAAAUUAAAUACUCUAGCUUACUGUAUUACAGUAUGUAUGAAUUUAUUUUGCUUUUAUGCUUAAAAAUUAUUUACAUAUAAC